GACGUAGGAGGCGAGCGUUAUCCGGAUUCACUGGGCGUAAAGCGCAAGUAGGCGGUUGUGAAAGUCCGUUGUUAAAGCCCCCGGCUCAACUGGGGAGGGUCACGCGAUACUGAUCGACUCGAAGGCAGGAGAGGGUAGUGGAAUUCCCGGUGUAGUGGUGAAAUGCGUAGAUAUCGGGAGGAACACCAGUGGCGAAGGCGACUACCUGGCCUGUUCUUGACGCUGAGGCGCGAAAGCUAGGGGAGCAAACGGG
This 253-nucleotide ribosomal RNA is filed under the name uncultured bacterium. Its description in RNAcentral is "partial 16S ribosomal RNA". It matches the Rfam family "Bacterial small subunit ribosomal RNA", at positions 524 to 776 of the family's 1533-position model. The record is from RNAcentral.